This is a ribosomal RNA of Lepisosteus oculatus (spotted gar), 119 nucleotides long. Lineage: Eukaryota; Metazoa; Chordata; Actinopteri; Semionotiformes; Lepisosteidae. The record is from Ensembl.
GCCAGCACCCAUAUCACCCUGCAACUCACAACUGGCAACCCACUGAAGAUAAGCAGGUGUGAGCCUGGUCAGUACCUGGAUGGGAGACCUCCUGGGAAAAACUAAGGUUGCUGCUGGAA